GAUGAACGCUGGCGGCGUGCCUAAUACAUGCAAGUCGAGCGAACAGACGAGGAGCUUGCUCCUCUGACGUUAGCGGCGGACGGGUGAGUAACACGUGGAUAACCUACCUAUAAGACUGGGAUAACUUCGGGAAACCGGAGCUAAUACCGGAUAAUAUAUUGAACCGCAUGGUUCAAUAGUGAAAUACGGUUUUGCUGUCACUUAUAGAUGGAUCCGCGCCGCAUUAGCUAGUUGGUAAGGUAACGGCUUACCAAGGCAACGAUGCGUAGCCGACCUGAGAGGGUGAUCGGCCACACUGGAACUGAGACACGGUCCAGACUCCGACGGGAGGCAGCAGUAGGGAAUCUUACGCAAUGGGCGAAAGCCUGACGGAGCAACGCCGCGUGAGUGAUGAAGGUCUUCGGAUCGUAAAACUCUGUUAUUAGGGAAGGACAAAUGUGUAAGUAACUAUGCACGUCUUGACGGUACCUAAUCAGAAAGCCACGGCUAACUACGUG
Molecule: ribosomal RNA, 497 nt
Filed under: uncultured bacterium
Lineage: Bacteria
Description: partial 16S ribosomal RNA
Rfam family: Bacterial small subunit ribosomal RNA
Source: RNAcentral